This 480-nucleotide ribosomal RNA is filed under the name uncultured bacterium. RNAcentral describes it as "SSU rRNA". It matches the Rfam family "Bacterial small subunit ribosomal RNA", at positions 26 to 521 of the family's 1533-position model. The record is from RNAcentral.
AGAACGAACGCUGGCGGCAUGCCUAACACAUGCAAGUCGAACGCUUCCGGGGCUUCGGUCGCGGAGGAGUGGCGCACGGGUGAGUAGCGCGUGGGAACCUGCCCUGUUGUGGGGGAUAACCGAGGGAAACUUCGGCUAAUACCGCAUACGCCCCGGGACUUGGUCUUCGGAUUAGGUCUGGGGGGAAAGAUUGAUCGCAGCAGGAGGGGCCCGCGUCGGAUUAGCUGGUUGGUGGGGUAACGGCUCACCAAGGCGAUGAUCCGUAGCUGGUCUGAGAGGAUGAUCAGCCACACUGGGACUGAGACACGGCCCAGACUCCUACGGGAGGCAGCAGUGGGGAAUAUUGGACAAUGGGGGCAACCCUGAUCCAGCAAUGCCGCGUGAGUGAUGAAGGCCUUAGGGUUGUAAAGCUCUUUCGCCCGCGACGAUGAUGACGGUAGCGGGAGAAGAGCCCGGCUAACUCGCGCCAGCAGCCGCGGU